RNAcentral lists this non-coding RNA (30 nucleotides) under Mus musculus (house mouse). The record is from RNAcentral. Lineage: Eukaryota; Metazoa; Chordata; Mammalia; Rodentia; Muridae.
CCNGGUGCUCUCACCUCCAAAUAGCCCCAC